GGGGAUUUAGCUCAGUGGUAGAGCGCUUGCCUAGCAAAUGCAAGUCCCUGGGUUCAGUCCCCA
This is a non-coding RNA of Rattus norvegicus (Norway rat), 63 nucleotides long. The record is from Rfam. Lineage: Eukaryota; Metazoa; Chordata; Mammalia; Rodentia; Muridae.